Molecule: ribosomal RNA, 468 nt
Filed under: uncultured bacterium
Lineage: Bacteria
Description: partial 16S ribosomal RNA
Rfam family: Bacterial small subunit ribosomal RNA
Source: RNAcentral
GACGAACGCUGGCGGCGUGCUUAACACAUGCAAGUCGAACGGAAAGGCCCUGCUUUUGUGGGGUGCUCGAGUGGCGAACGGGUGAGUAACACGUGAGUAACCUGCCCUUGACUUUGGGAUAACUUCAGGAAACUGGGGCUAAUACCGGAUAGGAGCUCCUGCUGCAUGGUGGGGGUUGGAAAGUUUCGGCGGUUGGGGAUGGACUCGCGGCUUAUCAGCUUGUUGGUGGGGUAGUGGCUUACCAAGGUUUUGACGGGUAGCCGGCCUGAGAGGGUGACCGGCCACAUUGGGACUGAGAUACGGCCCAGACUCCUACGGGAGGCAGCAGUGGGGAAUAUUGCACAAUGGGCGGAAGCCUGAUGCAGCAACGCCGCGUGCGGGAUGACGGCCUUCGGGUUGUAAACCGCUUUCGCCGGUGACGAAGCGUGAGUGACGGUAAUGGGUAAAGAAGCACCGGCUAACUACGUG